AUGAGUUUCUUUAGUAAAGUAUUCGGUGGUAAAAAAGAACCGGCGCCUUUGUCAACAGCCGAUGCAAUACAAAAAUUACGAGAAACGGAAGAUAUGUUGAUAAAGAAACAAGAUUUCCUUGAAAAUAAAAUAGAAAUUGAAAUUCAAACUGCUAAGAAACAUGGAACAAAAAAUAAAAGAGCUGCAAUUCAAGCCCUUAAAAGAAAGAAACGUUAUGAAAAACAAUUGCAACAAAUUGAUGGUACACUUACUACAAUUGAAAGUCAAAGAGAAGCACUUGAAUGUGCGAAUACUAAUACUGCUGUACUUACCACAAUGAAAAAUGCAGCAGAUGCAUUAAAAUCUGUUCAUCAACAUAUGGAUGUUGAUCAAGUACAUGAUAUGAUGGAUGAUAUAGCUGAACAACAAGAUGUAGCAAGAGAAAUUUCUGAUGCAAUUUCUAACCCUGUAGCAUUUGGACAAGAUGUAGAUGAAGAAGAAUUAGAAAAAGAAUUGGAAGAACUUGAACAAGAACAACUAGAUAAAGAAUUACUUGGUAUUGAACCUACUGAUGAAUUACCAAGUGUUCCAGCUACUGCUAUUCCAACUGCCCCAACUAGGACUCGCACAAAAGCUAAACCUGAAGAGGAUGAAGAUUUAAAAGAAUUAGAAGCAUGGGCAUCAUAAGAUGCUUCAUAUGGUGUAACAAAAGGUGUCAAUUCUUCAGCCCAAAAUGGAAUAAAUUUUUCUAUCCUCAUAAAACGUUAAUGAGUAUAUCAUUCCAUCCAUUAAUAACAAGAUGAUAAGCAACUGAAUUAGCCACAAUUCCUGCACCUGCUAUAACAAUUUGUGAUUGCGAAGGUAUUGUUGUAUGAAAUGGAAAUUGUUGUGUUGUGUGAGAAUCAUGAUUAAAUUUUCUAUGAUUUUUAUUUUUA
This 914-nucleotide unclassified non-coding RNA is filed under the name Apis florea (little honeybee). Its description in RNAcentral is "charged multivesicular body protein 4b, transcript variant X2". The record is from RNAcentral. Lineage: Eukaryota; Metazoa; Arthropoda; Insecta; Hymenoptera; Apidae.